Molecule: non-coding RNA, 69 nt
Organism: Podarcis lilfordi (Lilford's wall lizard)
Lineage: Eukaryota; Metazoa; Chordata; Lepidosauria; Squamata; Lacertidae
Source: the annotation of a GenBank genome assembly
GGAUAGCUCAGUCGGUACAGUAUAUGACUCUUAAUCCCAGUCUCGUGGGUUCGAGUCCCACGUUAGGCA